Carassius gibelio (silver crucian carp) is the source of this 2112-nucleotide long non-coding RNA. RefSeq lists it as uncharacterized. The transcript has 5 exons. The record is from RefSeq and is a predicted model, not a curated record. NCBI's taxonomy places the organism in Eukaryota, Metazoa, Chordata, Actinopteri, Cypriniformes, Cyprinidae.
ACGGUGGAUCGCCUCAUUCUGUUUGUGAGACUGUACGCUGCAAAACCAUGCCGUGUUUUUACUACCAAGACACAGUCUCCGAUCGUGAGUUAUUGCAUAACGGAUGCAAACAAUUCUGUCGCUGAAGAACUGAAACGUAAACAAAGGAAUUAUGAUCCAUAUUACAACGUUAUUGCUUCGUUGGACUACACGUGCUUCAUGAGAUUUCGUUCAGUGGACCCUUACCUUCCUAACUAAACCGGGAUUUACAGCUGUGGGUGUGUUUAUGUCUCGUUAUUACGAUGGAUCUGGUCAUGAUGAGCAUCUGAUCGUCUUCAGAGACACAAAGAUCUCAGUGUUGAGCUGUUCAUCUGCAGUCUGUCAGAGAAGAGAGGAAAGAUGAGUCUCUCUCACAAACAGAGGGAUAACGAGAGCUUGUGGAGAGAACUGGACUCAUUGAAACAGAAAUAUCAGCAGCAGCACAAAAUCAAACGUAAGAUUAUAACGUUCAUCAUCAACAUCCUUCAGUCAAAUGGGAUAAAAUGUUGCAAAAGAACAGUAAGUUUGUUCUCCUAAAGCACACAAAAUGUUCUCAUAGUCAGUGAGAAAUGUGAUUGAAGAGGAAAGUGUGAUCUAAUUCAUGACUUCAUCGAACACAAUGCUGUUCAGUUAUAAAAAGAGCUUGAAAGAUAGAAAGCGUUCCCGUAACUCAAACUACAUGUUUACCUCCCGCUUCCCCAACUCUGUCCUCCAUGGAGCUGGCAUUGAACCUGAGUCUGAGGAAAUACACACUGAAAGCUUAGAUAGCAAACCGAUCUGUGUGCCAUUUUCUCUUAUAAUUACUGUAUCACAGAUCUCUGUUUUAUCAAUAACUGGAGCAGAUUCUUUUUCUUAUGAAAAAUGUUUUUUUGUUGUGGUUAUUUUUCUUUCUAGAGAGACAAACCUCACUGCUUUAGUAACAGCUAACAAGCUUGUAUAGUCUGAUGUGUUUGAUUUCAUGUUCAUGAUCGAUGCUUAGUCCUGGCUGCCACAUCUCUGCUGUUAAAGACUCUGACACAAAAAGAGAAACCAGACACAGUUACACCGCAGAAGAGCCUGAAAUAAACUGCAGAGCGGGAGCAGGAGAGCUGUGAUAGUGGAGAGUUUUCAGAUAUAUCACCAUCCUUCAGCAACACUACCCUGCCUUUAGAGCGCUCUUUUCUCAUUUAAAACUCGAAUGCAUCUGAUAUUGUGCUGUGGUGUUUGAUAGUAAAAGAAGUAUCUGAAACAGACAACUGUUGAUAGUUCUGCCAUUUAAUGAAAGGAUCAGUAUCAUUAUACACCAAGUUGAUAUAUGUCAAUUGUAAAUGAUGUAAAUCAUGUACAUUUUCUGUUGUGAUUUUUAUCCAUCAGUGAACUCUAAACUCUAACUCUAGUGAUUUCACAACAAACUUUAGUCUAUUAGCAGAAUUGACCAUGUAGGGUGAAGCAAUAGACCAAAAUGACCGAAAGCACUUUGAAUCAUCUGUCAGUGUUUUAAAAAAUUCAGUAAAUGACGGAAAUGUUUCUGUUAAUGCAACUUCUGCAAUAAAUGCAGUUUUAAAGUCAGCAUUUUUGUGUGGGAGGCUUGCCAAGAUGGUUUUAUUUAAAUAUGCUGCAUACUCUGCCACCAAAUGUCUAAAUAAGUAAUAACUAAUAUAUUAAUAAUAGAGCUAAUGUGGCAAUUAAAGUUACUUAAGAGCAUGAUAUGCUAUUGAUGCACUCUCUCUCUGUCUCUCUCUCUCUCUCUAUAUAUAUAUAUAUAUAUAUAUACACACACACACACAGUGCUGAAUGAACAUUUUUGAACCCUUUACAAUUUCCUAUAUUACUGCAUAAAUAUGAUCAAUAUGUGUUACACAUAAAUAUCUAACACUGGGUCAUUUUUCUCAAAUAAAUGACAGAAAAUAUCUUUGUCUCAUUUGUUUGAUUGGGUUCUCUUUGUCUACUUUCAGGAAUCGUGUGAUAAUCUGAUGAUGUUAUGGGUCAUAUUUAUGCAGAAAUGUAGAAAAUUGCAAAGGUAUAACAAACUUUAAAUCAGCACUGUGUGUGUGUAUGUGUCACAUAUAUAUUAGUUCAACACAUUAGCUCUAUUAUUAAUAUAUUAGUUAUUAC